Molecule: transfer RNA, 66 nt
Filed under: Ellipsidion sp. BLA050
Lineage: Eukaryota; Metazoa; Arthropoda; Insecta; Blattodea; Pseudophyllodromiidae
Description: tRNA-Ala
Source: RNAcentral
AGGGUAGUAGUUAAUUAUAACAUUUGGGUUGCAUUCAAAAAGUGUUGAGAUAUUCAACCUACCUUA